Molecule: ribosomal RNA, 501 nt
Filed under: Veillonella parvula
Lineage: Bacteria; Bacillati; Bacillota; Negativicutes; Veillonellales; Veillonellaceae
Description: bacterial SSU rRNA
Rfam family: Bacterial small subunit ribosomal RNA
Source: RNAcentral
GACGAACGCUGGCGGCGUGCUUAACACAUGCAAGUCGAACGAAGAGCGACGGAAGCUUGCUUCUAUCAAUCUUAGUGGCGAACGGGUGAGUAACGCGUAAUCAACCUGCCCUUCAGAGGGGGACAACAGUUGGAAACGACUGCUAAUACCGCAUACGAUCUAAUCUCGGCAUCGAGGAUGGAUGAAAGGUGGCCUCUACAUGUAAGCUAUCACUGAAGGAGGGGAUUGCGUCUGAUUAGCUAGUUGGAGGGGUAACGGCCCACCAAGGCGAUGAUCAGUAGCCGGUCCGAGAGGAUGAACGGCCACAUUGGGACUGAGACACGGCCCAGACUCCUACGGGAGGCAGCAGUGGGGAAUCUUCCGCAAUGGACGAAAGUCUGACGGAGCAACGCCGCGUGAGUGAUGACGGCCUUCGGGUUGUAAAGCUCUGUUAAUCGGGACGAAAGGCCUUCUUGCAAAUAGUGAGAAGGAUUGACGGUACCGGAAUAGAAAGCCACGGCU